RNAcentral lists this ribosomal RNA (550 nucleotides) under Methanosarcina sp. enrichment culture clone A10. RNAcentral's name for it is "bacterial SSU rRNA". It matches the Rfam family "Archaeal small subunit ribosomal RNA", at positions 108 to 656 of the family's 1478-position model. The record is from RNAcentral. Lineage: Archaea; Methanobacteriati; Methanobacteriota; Methanomicrobia; Methanosarcinales; Methanosarcinaceae.
CCUGCCCUUGGGUCCGGCAUAACCCCGGGAAACUGGGGAUAAUUCCGGAUAACGCACAUAUGCUGGAAUGCUUUAUGCGUCAAAUGGAUUCGUCUGCCCAAGGAUGGGUCUGCGGCCUAUCAGGUAGUAGUGGGUGUAAUGUACCUACUAGCCGACGACGGGUACGGGUUGUGAGAGCAAGAGCCCGGAGAUGGAUUCUGAGACAUGAAUCCAGGCCCUACGGGGCGCAGCAGGCGCGAAAACUUUACAAUGCGGGAAACCGUGAUAAGGGGACACCGAGUGCCAGCAUCAUAUGCUGGCUGUCCGGGUGUGUAAAAUACACCUGUUAGCAAGGGCCGAGCAAGACCGGUGCCAGCCGCCGCGGUAACACCGGCGGCCCGAGUGGUGAUCGUGAUUAUUGGGUCUAAAGGGUCCGUAGCCGGUUUGGUCAGUCCUCCGGGAAAUCUGACGGCUUAACCGUUAGGCUUUCGGAGGAUACUGCCAGGCUUGGAACCGGGAGAGGUAAGAGGUACUACAGGGGUAGGAGUGAAAUCUUGUAAUCCCUGUGGGA